AUUGAACGCUGGCGGCAGGCUUAACACAUGCAAGUCGAGCGGAGUGAUGGUGCUUGCACUAUCACUUAGCGGAGGACGGGUGAGUAAUGCUUAGGAAUCUGCCUAUUAGUGGGGGACAACAUCUCGAAAGGGAUGCUAAUAACGCAUACGUCCUACGGGAGAAAGCAGGGGAUCACUUGUGACCUUGCGCUAAUAGAUGAGCCUAAGUCGGAUUAGCUAGUUGGUGGGGUAAAGGCCUACCAAGGCGACGAUCUGUAGCGGGUCUGAGAGGAUGAUCCGCCACACUGGGACUGAGCCACGGCCCAGACUCCUACGGGAUGCAGCAGUGGGGAAUAUUGGACAAUGGGGGGAACCCUGAUCCAGCCAUGCCGCGUGUGUGAAGAAGGCCUUAUGGUUGUAAAGCACUUUAAGCGAGGAGGAGGCUUACCUAGUUAAUACCUGGGAUAAGUGGACGUUACUCGCAGAAUAAGCACCGGCUAACUCUGUGCCAGCCGCCGCAGUAA
RNAcentral lists this ribosomal RNA (503 nucleotides) under uncultured bacterium. RNAcentral's name for it is "partial 16S ribosomal RNA". It matches the Rfam family "Bacterial small subunit ribosomal RNA", at positions 30 to 523 of the family's 1533-position model. The record is from RNAcentral.